CAGCCGUAAACUAUGCGCGUUAGGUGUACUGGUGACCACGAGUCACCGGGGUGCCGAAGGGAAACCGUGAAACGUGCCGCCUGGGAAGUACGGUCGCAAGGCUGAAACUUAAAGGAAUUGGCGGGGGAGGCACCACAACGGGUGGAGCCUGCGGUUUAAUUUGGACUCAACGCCGGAAAUCUCACCGGAUAGGACAGACACAUGAUAGUCGGGCUGAAGACUCUACUUGAUGAUCUGAGAGGUGGUGCAUGGCGUCAGUGACU
Molecule: ribosomal RNA, 263 nt
Filed under: uncultured archaeon
Lineage: Archaea
Description: partial 16S ribosomal RNA
Rfam family: Archaeal small subunit ribosomal RNA
Source: RNAcentral